This is a small nucleolar RNA of Sander lucioperca (pikeperch), 69 nucleotides long. Its record names the gene SNORD58. It matches the Rfam family "Small nucleolar RNA SNORD58". Rfam says of the family: snoRNA U58 is found in introns 1, 3 and 6 of the ribosomal protein RPL17 gene in humans. U58 is a member of the C/D class of snoRNA which contain C (UGAUGA) and D (CUGA) box motifs. Most of the members of the box C/D family function in directing site-specific 2'-O-methylation of substrate RNAs. Lineage: Eukaryota; Metazoa; Chordata; Actinopteri; Perciformes; Percidae. The record is from Ensembl.
CAGCUGCGAUGACUUCUUAGGACACCUUUGGAUUACUCAUGAAAAUAACUCAUGAAAGAUCUGAGCUAC